CACAAAAACACUAGUAAUUCACAAUUUCUUCUUUAUGUUGUGACCACUCUCUCAAAUUUGUAUAUAUAUAUAGGUAACAUCUUCACCUCAACUCCAUUGAUUAACUCCCACUCUUUCCUCUCUUCAAAGCAAUCCCUUUUUUUUUCCUUCUUCUUUCAAAUUUCACUCUCAAAAACCAAAACACCAUUCAAACUCUCUCUCUCCCAACAAGGAAUAUACCCUUUGAUCCCAAAACCUUCCCCCUUUCCCUUUCUCUACUCUCUCCAUCUUUAUUAUUAUAUUAUUAAAUAUCUAUUCAUUCUUACAUAA
Vicia faba (fava bean) is the source of this 309-nucleotide non-coding RNA. The record is from the annotation of a GenBank genome assembly. Lineage: Eukaryota; Viridiplantae; Streptophyta; Magnoliopsida; Fabales; Fabaceae.